Molecule: ribosomal RNA, 497 nt
Filed under: uncultured bacterium
Lineage: Bacteria
Description: partial 16S ribosomal RNA
Rfam family: Bacterial small subunit ribosomal RNA
Source: RNAcentral
GACGAACGCUGGCGGCGUGCCUAAUACAUGCAAGUUGAGCGAUGAAGAUUGGUGCUUGCACCAAUUUGAAGAGCAGCGAACGGGUGAGUAACGCGUGGGGAAUCUGCCUUUGAGCGGGGGACAACAUUUGGAAACGAAUGCUAAUACCGCAUAACAACUUUAAACAUAAGUUUUAAGUUUUAAAGAUGCAAUUGCAUCACUCAAAGAUGAUCCCGCGUUGUAUUAGCUAGUUGGUGAGGUAAAGGCUCACCAAGGCGAUGAUACAUAGCCGACCUGAGAGGGUGAUCGGCCAAAUUGGGACUGAGACACGGCCCAAACUCCUACGGGAGGCAGCAGUAGGGAAUCUUCGGAAAUGGACGAAAGUCUGGCCGAGCAACGACGCGUGAGUGAAGAAGGGUUUCGGAUCGUAAAACUCUGUUGGUAGAGAAGAACGUUGGUGAGAGUGGAAAGCUCAUCAAGUGACGGUAACUACCCAGAAAGGGACGGCUAACUACGUG